Molecule: non-coding RNA, 91 nt
Organism: Mycena epipterygia
Lineage: Eukaryota; Fungi; Basidiomycota; Agaricomycetes; Agaricales; Mycenaceae
Source: the annotation of a GenBank genome assembly
GGCUCGAUGGCGGAUGAUCCGCGCCUGCAUCAUAUAUACGUCUGGAAUGCGAAGUGUGCAGGAGAUGUCCGUUCGAUUCGGGCUCGAGCCA